GUCAAAAGAAAAAGAAACUAAUCCUCUCAAAGAUAAUUUCAUCAUCCUUGGUAGCACUAGCGAGGUAGGUAACAUUUUACUGCUAGUUAAAACUUUACUGCUUUAUUAUUGAUUCAUGUUCUUGGCAAGAUUGUGUUAUUCUCCUACAAAUAGAGUUUGAUAGUUUGAGUCAGAAAGUUCAGCUGCAUUUUCUUCUGUGCCAUUUCCAUUUUGAUUUGGUUGAAACUUGAAAGACAAAAUUCAGCAGUGAUGAAAACCAUUUCUGACAGCUUAUCUCAUCAAGAAUCCAUGUUUGAUUUCAGGGAACCUUCUCCUCCUUUCAUUUCCUUGCAGCAGAAGACGAUUGCAACCAUCAGAGAUUCUUCCUUCUCUUAUCUCAAUAAUCAAGUUGAUGAUUCCGAAAUAAGCAUUUUUGAUGCCCAAAAAUACUUCAACGAAAGUGGCAGCAGUGAUCCCCGAGUCAGCAACAGCGUUUCUCCUGUUAAUGUUAUUAAACUUGAACGCAUUUCCGAGCAAUGUGAUUUCUCUGCCAUUCCAAGAUUCUCCUCUGCUUCGUCUUCUGUUGAUGGACAUGAUCGUAACUACAGGACUCGUUCAUUCCACGCAACGCCAACAGCUUCGUCGGAGGCAAGCUGGAAUAGCCAAACCGGUUUGCUAUCGAAUCCACCAUGUGCUAUUGCAGUCACCGUGCGAAAUCCUACUGCUGAUGAAAAGAAACGGGGUUCUGCAACAAAAUGGCUUCUCGGGCGAAAAUGUCCUUGUUCUGGCAAGAAAUCUGUUCAAGUUGAGGAGAAACUAUCAGAACCCAGAACUCCAUCGCGCCUAAAUCACAAGUCCAAAGAGUCUCGGAAUAUCCAUAGGCGGAUUCUUGACUCUGCAGCAACAGAUCAUUGGCUCAAAAGACGAGAAGUGAUCCCUAGUUGUCACAGAAUCUCAGCAGACAACAACCAUUUUCCUUCAGUUCUAGGACACCAUAGUGUGUUAUCCUCCUCAACGAGAACAUUCACUGAUUGCACGAGUGGGUUCUCUUUUCCUAUACUCAACCAAACAUCUCCUAUGAAACUGGUAUUAAAUGGAUUGUCAUCUCCCAAUAACUACACUAGUCCUCCUCCUCCCCUUGAGGAUCAACCUCGGGAUUCGCUGGAAGUUUUCCGACCACCGGAAAAUCCAGUUUCAACCAAGACAAAAAUGGAAUUUCACCGACGCCAGAAUUUCACAUUUCCUUCGAGUCCCAAGUCGCGAAUGACGACAACAGACGAUGACAUGGCAAGCGAUGCGAGUUCAGACUUGUUCGAGAUAGAAAGCCUGUCUACUCAAACAACAUCAUACCCAAAUCACCGGAGAGACUCAUUGGAAGAGGCAAGACGUUUGGGCUGUCGUAUAAAUGAAGGUGGUUUGUAUUGCAGGGGAAGUCUGGAUGAGCCGACGACGCCAUCUGUGGCACCAACAGAAUGUUAUGAACCAAGUGAAGCAAGCAUCGAUUGGAGUGUGACAACAGCUGAAGGGUUCGACCGAGCAAGUGUCACAAAUUUCUCAAUAACCGCAUCAGAAGUUGAGGACAUGCAUCGCCAUGAGUCUGACAAGGGUAGCGGUGGGAAGAUGAGAGGAGGGUUGUUGAGCUGUCGAUGUGAGAAGGCGGUGAGUGUGGGGCCACAGCCGGUGAAAUCAGCGGCUUCGGAGGGACAAAGAGGAGGAAGCUCCACAUUGAGGCAUGUGAGUAGUAGGCCACCCGUUCCGAAUAAGCCACCUCUUGCAAGGUCUCACUCUGCUCGCUUGUCUCCGCCUUUUGCAACAUAAAGCGAGCAGUCUGUGGACUUGUGGUGGUUUUUGCUUUGCCGCCAUAUUGGAGUUUCCAAAUAUUGAUACUUUUACUUUGGGAAUUUAUUUAUUUAUUUAUUUUUAAAUACUUCUUUCACCACUUGAAUUCAUGGUGUCAUGCUGUUAUGCUGCCCAAUUUUUUUUGUUUAUCAACACUCUGCCUCUUCUCCUUGAGAAUG
Molecule: unclassified non-coding RNA, 1997 nt
Filed under: Hevea brasiliensis (rubber tree)
Lineage: Eukaryota; Viridiplantae; Streptophyta; Magnoliopsida; Malpighiales; Euphorbiaceae
Source: RNAcentral